Molecule: ribosomal RNA, 542 nt
Filed under: uncultured archaeon
Lineage: Archaea
Description: bacterial SSU rRNA
Rfam family: Archaeal small subunit ribosomal RNA
Source: RNAcentral
CGGGGUGCAGCAGGCGCGAAAACUUUACAAUGCUGGAAACAGCGAUAAGGGGACCUCGAGUGCCAGGUUACAAAUCUGGCUGUCGUGAUGCCUAAAAAGCAUUGCAUAGCAAGGGCCGGGCAAGACCGGUGCCAGCCGCCGCGGUAACACCGGCGGCUCGAGUGGUAACCGUUAUUAUUGGGUCUAAAGGGUCUGUAGCCGGCCGGAUAAGUCUCUUGGGAAAUCCAGCAGCUCAACUGUUGGGCUUUCAGGAGAUACUGUCUGGCUCGAGGCCGGGAGAGGUGAGAGGUACUUCAGGGGUAGGGGUGAAAUCUUGUAAUCCUUGAAGGACCACCAGUGGCGAAGGCGUCUCACCAGAACGGACCUGACGGCAAGGGACGAAAGCUAGGGGCACGAACCGGAUUAGAUACCCGGGUAGUCCUAGCCGUAAACGAUACUCGCUAGGUGUCGGCCACGGUGCGACCGUUGUCGGUGCCGUAGGGAAGCCGUGAAGCGAGCCACCUGGGAAGUACGGCCGCAAGGCUGAAACUUAAAGGAAUGGC